CAUUUAUCAAAACCUACAUGAAUCAACACACGUUAGUUCGAGAACGUGUUUCUUACAGUGCUUAGCCUUAUGCAGUGAAUAGGUAGCAAAUAUGAGCAUAAUAUUUCUUAGUUGGAGACAUAUUUGCAUCGGCUGGCUUGAUUGAUAGUGACUUUGAUAUGUGUAUAUUUGCGAAUACGUGUAUUAUGUUCACCAUGCUAGCAUCCAAAGAACAAUUGUAAGUUUUGCAAGGGGAGGUUGGUUCGUGCCUUUGUAUGUUUGCUUAGCUUUGCUCUGUUCUAUAGGCCCCGUUUGAGUUGCCCUGGGUAACACCUUGCUGUCAUGGAAAUAAAGUUUUUGAAAAUAUACACUUAUUGAUGAAAAUAGAGUUAUUUUAGAAUACAUAGUGAAAUAUCAAUUAGUUUGGAUGAAAUAAUGACUUUAACACGUUUAUUGCAGCUUUCUUGUGUUAGAUUGUUUAGGUCCCUCCUCAAAAUUCUGCCCCAGUUAGGAAGAUGAUCCUUCGGUUACGCACGACGAAAUUUGCUGAAUCUUCUUCGGAAUUUUGAGAAUCCUUCUCAAAAUUCUGCCCCAAUCACUUAAUCGAUUUCUGACUUUUCGACGUAUGAUAGUGUUGGCUGGAGUUGCUACGGAAUUUCGAGGGUCCUCCUUAAAAUUCUGCAUCAGUUUCUAGUGCUGGGGGACAUAAAGAUUUUAUUAAGAUAUGACCGAACCCACAAACUUGCCUACGUAUCCCCUCUUAAAGGAGAAUCAAGUCAAGCAUAGUUCAGUUACACCAUUUGAAAGAAUGUGAACAGUCGAAACAUAGUAUCUCUUAAGAGCGUCUUAAUUGAUUAGUUUUGCCAGACUUCUCCGUACAUUUCUGCAGGUAUAAGUGCUCCCCAUGUUAGCACCCAAUGAACCAUGUAAGGACCUUUCCAGUUGGGAGAUAUUUUUCCUUUGACUUCAUCUUGAUGCGAAAAGAUCUUCUUUAGCACCAACUGUCCCAGUGUGAAUUAUCUUGGUUUGACCUUAUUGUUGAAAGCUCUGGACAUUCUGUUCUAAUAAAGCUAACUUUGACAUAUUGCAUUUAUUCGUUUUCUAUAUAUAAGGGUCAGUUGGUCAUAAGCGGCUCCUUAUCCAUUCUACAUCACUUAGUUCAUCUUCCUGCAUGAUCCUUAAUGAGGGAAUUUCUACCUCGGUUGGAAUAGCAGCUUCGGUACCAUAAACUAGUAAAUAAGGGGUUGCCCCGGUUGAUAUGUGGAUCGUACCGUAGUACCCCAAUAGGGAAAAGGGUAACUUCUCGUGCCAUUAUUUGUGUUUUUCUACUAUCUUCCUUAGUAUUUUCUUGAUGCUCUUGUUAGUAGCUUCCACAUCUCCAUUCAUUUAAGGCAUAUAUGUUGUAGAGUUCCUGUGCUUGAUUUUGAAGGUUUCACACAUGGUUUUCAUCAGAUCACUGUUGAUAUUGGCGGCAUUAUCAUUGAUAAUAGACUCGGGAACCCCAAAUCGGCAAAUAAUAUGAUCUUUGACAAAAUGUGCGAUGACUUUCUUGGUUACAGCUGGAUGCAGCCUUUACCCAUUUUGUGAAGUAGUCAAUGGCCACUAAAAUGAACAUGUGCCCAUUUGAAGCAGUGAGCUCGAUUGGACCGAUGACAUCCAGUCCCCAGGCGGCAAAAGGCCAAGGGGCACUUGUUGCAUUGAGCUUGUUUGGUGGUACCUUUAUCUUGUCUACAUGAACCUGGCAUUAUUGGCAUUUCUAUACGUACCAGAUGCAAUUCAUUUUCAUGGUCAUCCAAAAGUAUCCAGCUCUAAGUAUUUUAUUGGCUAGGACAAAACCAUUCAUAUGUGGUCCACAAUUCCUAGCAUGUAUCUCCUCGAGAAAUUUUGAAGCCUCUUUUGCGUCAACACACCUUAAUAACUCUAGAUCAGGAGUUCUUCUAUACAGAGUCCCUCCGCUUUAGAAGAAGUGAUUGGAUAGCCUUCGCAGAGUGUGUUUCUGAAUAUGGUUUGCUUGCUAUGGAUAUUCUCCUCUAGCCAAAUAUUUUGUGAUUUCGUGGAACCAACAUUUUCCAUCCGUUUCUUCUUCAACAUGAGCAGAGUAAGCUAGUUGGUUAUGGAUUUUCACCAUGAUGGGAUCAAUAAAUUCUUGUUUGGAUGUUGUAUCAUUGAUGAUAAGGUGCCCAAUGCAUAUGAAAACUCAUUCUGAAUUCUGGGCACAUGUUUAAAUUCUAUCAUUGUAAAUCUCUUCAUUAGUUCCUGCACAUGAUACAAGUAUGGAAGUAUCUUCAUGUUCUUUGUAGCCCAUUAUGCUUAAACUUGAUGUACCAGAAGAUCCAAUUCACUUAUUACCAAUAGCUCUUGUAUAUCCAUAUCGAUGUCCAGAUUGAGCCCCAUGGUGCAAGCUUCGCAUUUUUUCAUGUUGUUGGUGCAUGGAAACCUAAGUUUUGUGGAUACGGGGUAAUGUUAACCUAUUUCUAAUACCAAAACUGCUCUGAUGCGCACUCAUUUGAAGUUUGCAUCUCCAUCGAAGAACAUUCUCCAACUAUUGUAUGUUUCAAUAAUGUCCUCUCCUACUAAUGAUACUUUUUCACAAGAAAAUACGUUGUUUAUGGUUAGUAUUAUCCUCUCAUAUGAUUUUUAGCAAGAUGGUCUGCCAAUGCUGGCCCUUUGAUUGCCUUAUGCGUUACAUAGAUUAUGUCGAACUCACUUAAUAAUAUUUGCCAUUUAGCUAACUUCUCGGUUUCAAUGGGCUUAUGAAAGAUGUACUUUAGAGGGUUCAUCCUGGAUAUGAGGUAUGUGGUAUAGGCACAGAAGUAAUGCCUCAAUUUCUUAGCUAUCCAAGUUAAAGUACAACAAGUGCAUUCCAGCAAGGAGUAUCGUUCUUCAUAAGGUGUGAACUUCUUACUCAAGCAGUAUAUCCUUUCUUCUUGUCUCGUCAUCUUGUCCCAAAACACAUCUGAAAACUCCAUCUAAUACAGAUAGAUAGAAUAGCAAAGGUCUCCCAGGUUCUUGUGGGACUAGGACUGGUGGUGUGGAUAGGUAUUCCUUGAUUUUGUCAAAAGCCUUCUGAGAAUCUUCGGACUAACUCGUUUCAGCAUCUUUCCUCAACAUUUUGAAGAUGGGUUCACAUAUAACUGCGGAGUGUGCUAUGAAGUAACUAAUGUAUUUGAGGUGUCUUAUGAAGCUCGUCGCAAUCUUCUUGCUCUUUGGCGAUGGUAACUCUUGAAUAACCUUAACUUUGGACGGGUCAAAAUCGAUUCCUCGGCGGCUGACAAUGAAUCCCAACAACUUUCCUACGGGUACCCCGAAUGCACAUUUUGCAGGGUUCAGUUUUAUAUUGUACCUCCUUAACCUGUCAAAGAACUUUCUCAAGUUCGCUAUGUGAUUCGCGACCCUCUUGGAUUUGAUGAUGAUGUCGUCAAUGUCGCACCUCCUUUUUACUACCCCCACAAGGAGUAUAAGGGAGCUUUUUCCAAUUAAGUGACAAUCGAAAUAGAAUUUUUUGUUUAUUAUUCAGAGUCGCCACUUGGAAUAAUUUAUGGUGUCCAAAGUCACCGGUUUUUAAAUCCCAAAUCGAGGAAAGAUUGACUCUAUUUUAUAGACCGCGAAUACAAAAAUUCGGGUAAGGGAUUCUAUUAACCCAAUAGAAUGUGUUAGGCAUUCUCGGGUUCCGUAGUUUUAGCACGGUCAUUGAAAUAUUAUUAUUGUCCGAUUUAUUUGGUUUUAAAACACUUUUAAGCCUAUGUGCAUUUUUAACUUUUGGAAAACUGCUUUGACUUAUUUAAAGAAUUAAUCCAAGGUUAUUUAAAACAUAUCGCAAGCCACACUACAUGAAAUGCACCCGUGAGUCACGGCAUGUUCUAUUUAACCUUGUUGGAAAUUAGAACCGGGCCACAUAAAAUGUAUCCCCGGGUUUUAGUAAUAACUCUGAUUGCUAUAUAAUCAACGCGCCUAAAGCAAACUACAAAGCUCAUUUUUAAUAGCUAAAUUAAGACGUUUGUUAGGGCCAUGGAUGAUUCAAUUGCUCAUGGCACACCUCAAGUCUAAUUCUUUAAAUGAUUUCUUGGUCUAGUCUUAUGAGGGUCAUAAAUUAUAAAUUUUAUUGAUAUGGCACGCAUCAAUCUAAAGUAAGGUCACACUUAAUUAAAAAAAAGAGUUUGAAUUUUAGCCGAGUUAAAUUCUGAUUACAUUGUUCCAAACCUAAACUACAUGAGGCAUUAUAUCUAAAAUUAAACUUGGGGGAAAACCCAAACUUGCAACAGGUCUGAAAGCAAUAAACAUCCUUUAAAAAGGACUUGGGCUUGAGGAACAGCCCAAGGUUGGGAAUGAAAAAUCGAAAACCUCAAGAACUUAGCUGGGUCAAACUCGAGGCCCAAAUAGGAGAAUCAUUGAUUAUUCAAAGCAAACUCUAUCACCAUAAUAACCCAAAAUCGAUUUAAAUUAAACGAAAAAGAAGAGUGGAUAAAAGGUCGACAUUAAUUUGAAACAACCCAUCUUGAGGCUGGGCCAACUCGAAUAUGGGCCCAAGCCACUCCCUAGAGCCUGUUACAACACUUACACGUUUUGAUGGUUCUAAUAUGCAUGCUAUUAAUCAACCUAAGAGGUCAAUUUCUGAAGUUUUACUCAAAGACUAAUCCUUACUCCUAUUAUCACGUGUAACAGUACAACUACGUGAAUUCUCAUUCAAAAGUCUUUGGAAAACAAUCCCAAACAACUAGAAUCAUUAAAUAGCUAAUUAACAAGCACUUUGAAUAAGAUAAAGUCCUAAAUUAAGUCUAUAUCAUAACGGUCCAAAAUCAAACACAUGACAUCAAGAAUUUAACCAAAAACUAAACUUGCAUGCGAAGCUAAAGUUUAACACAGCCUAUAAGUACUGUCAACAACAUGGGUAAAUUCAUAGAUCAUAUAGUAAAACCCAAUGUAAUGCAUAAAACAAGAUAGAUUUUAUACGAAAUCAACUAAUACUAUGCUUAAACUCCACAUUUGAUUACAUGCUUCAAUUUUGAGCUUUAAUAUUCAAUAAGGUCCAAAAGGGGUACCUGAAUAUCAAAAGAAACCAAAGAAAAUGAAGGUUCAGCAGUAGCAAUAGUGUAGAUUAUCAUAGCAAGGUUCAGCUCCUUAGACCAUAUUAACCCAGAUAAACAAGAGUUCCUUGAAGCUUUUUGAAUUCCAAUUAACACUUAAGACUAAGGAGCAAGAAUUAGAACCAAUUUCCACCCAAAAGAUGCAGAAAUUUUAAAGUAUUUUUUCAGAGUAGCUCUUUCAACCGCUUUUGAUUUUUAGUAUUCUGAUCUUUGACUCUAAACUAAAGAACAUGAGCCUUAUACAAUCGGCUCCUAGGGCAACAAAAUCUGAUUCUACCUUUCAUUAUUUACCCCUUCCUCAAUUUUAUUUUCAUUUUGGACCCUAAGUUGUAGCCUAUUUGCUAAGUCAGCCCGUUCCUCGGUUUCUUUGAAACUUCCUAGUUAGUUAGACCAGAUUCCCUCAAGUUAAAAUGACCUACGCAACCUUCAACACCCCUGUAUUUACCCUCAGGGGAUCACUCCUGGGUCAAACUAACCCAAGACCCAACCUAACCCACGGGCAUGUGUACUAACAACCCAAAUUAAAUCUGAGACCAUAAAGGAAUGUUAUCAGUCAUAAAUUUAAGCAAAUAAACCCCUGAAUUUAAAAAGACUUCAAAAGAGACACUUGGAAACAAUAAUUUAUAAACAAAAGCACUUAAACUAAUUGAGACUAUUAUUAGCAAAUACAGUCAAUGCAUGAGCCUAGUUUGACCUUUGAAAGAAUUAAAUUAACCAUCUAAACAAGGAGUCAAAUUAUACCAAGAUAAAAAUAUGAUGAUUUCAAUUAAAUGCCAAAAUAAACCCAAAUUAAAGAGAGAAAAGAACCGGAGCCCUAAUGACCUAAAAGCCUACUCAAUGUUACCCCCUAACCAACUGAUUAUCAUUAAGAAGCUUAAAGUCUGAAACCUAAGUCAUGUAAUUGGACAAGAACCAAAACUCAUGAAGAAAUAAACCGAAGAAAGAAGAGGAGAAAAUUAGAGGGAAACAAAUAACACAAAGUAAAAGAGAAUUACCCCCAUACUUGCUCAGACAGAACUCGAACAACUCUUUUUAAAGAAGCAAAUGAACCUUCGACUAUCAUUAAUCGAUUGUCCUUAGCAUGGGACAGUUGAUUAAUGAUGGUUUGGGGUUCAUUCGGCCACAUACUAACCCAAAAAAGAACAAGGGGUGAAACCUAGGGAUUUUUCAAACCCCUGCUUCAACGUUGAAAGGAGACGAAAGCACAUUCGAGGAGAGAAAGGGUGAAGGGUUGCAUGGUGUAAGCUUGGGUAGAUUUGGGGAUUUUAGGGUUUUGGGGUGUUGGACUUAGAUCUUAAUUUCGAGAAGCUUGGUAAUGGUUUGAGAAGAGUAAGUUGGGGAUUCGGGAUGAGUGGAUAGAGAGGAUUCCAAGGUGUUAAUGGCGGAGAUUGGAGGUCAAUUGCCGGUAGAGAUGCUCCAGAACAAUAACUCAUAACUUGAAAAAAAUUCGAGAUACAAUUUAUAUCUUCAAAGUGGAGGAAAAAGUGAUGAUUCUGGUAUAAAUCGUGGCACGACUAUAAAUAAGAUGCUUGUUGGGAGGCAACCUAAUUUUACUGGUUUCUUUUAUUUUUAUUUUUUUAUUUUUUUUAUUGUGUUACUUUGUAGUGUUGUUCUUAAUUAUGAAGAAGUAGGAGCAUGGUAAAUAAAUCCAUUAGGUGCGUGAAAAAUCAAGUGGAUGAUUGGAACUAAGUGGGGGAUGCUUGCGCAAAAGAUCAUACCUGAAGAAGUCUGAGUAUCCUUUGUGUUGCUAAUACUUCAACCAUUGACCUACCAUGGAGUCUCUUUUACCAUCUUGUUACUUAUGGUAUGUAUUGAGGGCAAUGCAGAAUUUGUUA
This 6898-nucleotide long non-coding RNA is filed under the name Nicotiana benthamiana. RNAcentral's name for it is "long non-coding RNA (NBEN_LNC003008)". The record is from RNAcentral. Lineage: Eukaryota; Viridiplantae; Streptophyta; Magnoliopsida; Solanales; Solanaceae.